Molecule: non-coding RNA, 45 nt
Filed under: Schistosoma curassoni
Lineage: Eukaryota; Metazoa; Platyhelminthes; Trematoda; Strigeidida; Schistosomatidae
Source: RNAcentral
AUCCAGCUGACGAGUCCCAUAUAGGACAAAACGCGUGUCCUGGAU